Molecule: ribosomal RNA, 779 nt
Filed under: uncultured Bacillus sp.
Lineage: Bacteria; Bacillati; Bacillota; Bacilli; Caryophanales; Bacillaceae
Description: partial 16S ribosomal RNA
Rfam family: Bacterial small subunit ribosomal RNA
Source: RNAcentral
CGAUGGGCCGACGUCGCAUGCUCCCGGCCGCCAUGGUUAGAGUUUGAUCCUGGCUCAGGACGAGCGCUGGCGGCGUGCCUAAUACAUGCAAGUCGAGCGAAUCGACGGGAGCUUGCUCCCUGAGAUUAGCGGCGGACGGGUGAGUAACACGUGGGCAACCUGCCUAUAAGACUGGGAUAACUUCGGGAACCGGAGCUAAUACCGGAUACGUUCUUUUCUCGCAUGAGAGAAGAUGGAAAGACGGUUUACGCUGUCACUUAUAGAUGGGCCCGCGGCGCAUUAGCUAGUUGGUGAGGUAAUGGCUCACCAAGGCGACGAUGCGUAGCCGACCUGAGAGGGUGAUCGGCCACACUGGGACUGAGACACGGCCCAGACUCCUACGGGAGGCAGCAGUAGGGAAUCUUCCGCAAUGGACGAAAGUCUGACGGAGCAACGCCGCGUGAACGAAGAAGGCCUUCGGGUCGUAAAGUUCUGUUGUUAGGGAAGAACAAGUACCAGAGUAACUGCUGGUACCUUGACGGUACCUAACCAGAAAGCCACGGCUAACUACGUGCCAGCAGCCGCGGUAAUACGUAGGUGGCAAGCGUUGUCCGGAAUUAUUGGGCGUAAAGCGCGCGCAGGUGGUUCCUUAAGUCUGAUGUGAAAGCCCACGGCUCAACCGUGGAGGGUCAUUGGAAACUGGGGAACUUGAGUGCAGAAGAGGAAAGUGGAAUUCCAAGUGUAGCGGUGAAAUGCGUAGAGAUUUGGAGGAACACCAGUGGCGAAGGCGACUUUCUGGU